This 484-nucleotide ribosomal RNA is filed under the name uncultured bacterium. RNAcentral describes it as "partial 16S ribosomal RNA". It matches the Rfam family "Bacterial small subunit ribosomal RNA", at positions 30 to 507 of the family's 1533-position model. The record is from RNAcentral.
AUUGAACGCUGGCGGCAGGCCUAACACAUGCAAGUCGAGCGGAUGAAGGGAGCUUGCUCCUGGAUUCAGCGGCGGACGGGUGAGUAAUGCCUAGGAAUCUGCCUGGUAGUGGGGGAUAACGUCCGGAAACGGGCGCUAAUACCGCAUACGUCCUGAGGGAGAAAGUGGGGGAUCUUCGGACCUCACGCUAUCAGAUGAGCCUAGGUCGGAUUAGCUAGUUGGUGGGGUAAAGGCCUACCAAGGCGACGAUCCGUAACUGGUCUGAGAGGAUGAUCAGUCACACUGGAACUGAGACACGGCCCAGACUCCUACGGGAGGAAGCAGUGGGGAAUAUUGGACAGUGGGCGAAAGCCUGAUCCAGCCAUGCCGCGGGUGUGAAGAAGGACUUCGGAUUGUAAAGCACUGUAAGUUGGGAGGAAGGGCAGUAAGUUAAUACCUUGCUGUUUUGACGUUACCAACAGAAUAAGCACCGGCUAACUUCGUG